AUAUGACCGACGCGGGUCAAAGUGUAUACUAUCUGUUCUUAUGAGUAUAAUAUCUGAUACGGGUUGUAUUUGGACCCAAGAUAUUAAACUUAUUUUUGCAAGUUGGCAGAGUGCCUGAAGCCUGCAUCAUCUCCGCCACGGGUCGGCCCGGUAUUGCACUAUCUUCGUGAUCGGCCCACGCUUU
Dermacentor silvarum is the source of this 184-nucleotide small nuclear RNA. RefSeq annotates it as U2 spliceosomal RNA. Lineage: Eukaryota; Metazoa; Arthropoda; Arachnida; Ixodida; Ixodidae. The record is from RefSeq and is a predicted model, not a curated record. The transcript has a single exon.